Anolis sagrei ordinatus is the source of this 1880-nucleotide non-coding RNA. The record is from RefSeq and is a predicted model, not a curated record. NCBI's taxonomy places the organism in Eukaryota, Metazoa, Chordata, Lepidosauria, Squamata, Anolidae.
CUCUGGGUUAUUUUUUAAAAUGCAUAUAUCUCAAUUUCUUCUCCCCAAAGUUUAAAUUUGCCAUUGUAAUGAUGGGUCGGCACCAAUAUCUAAACGAAGACGAAUAUGAAGUGAACUUGAAAGAUUUCGAACCCCAACCCGGCAACAUGUCUCACCCAAGGCCAUGGCUAGGACUUGACCAUUUCAACAAAGCCCCAAAGAGAAGUCGCUACACGUACCUUGAAAAAGCUAUUAAAAUCCAUAACUGACUUACCCCUCUCCCAAGUUUGUUCGAGACAAGGAAAAAAAAGAGGGAGGGAGGCAACCAUAAGUGUGUGUGUGUGUGGCGUGUGUGUGGCGUGUGUGUGUGCGCACCUUUUUAACAACCGACCGUAGGACUUUUCCGGCACACGUGCACACGACCCGGCGUCUCCGGCGAGAGGAGCUUUGCUGCCGGUGGGAUUAAUUUUAUUUGGAGGCUACUCCCUUUGGCUUCUCUGUACCUUUUAUUGACUGCCCUCUUUUUUCUGUUUUGUUUUUUGAGCAAAAAAAUGAAGGUGUUUUAUAAAACAAAACGAUCAAGCUUUGGGUGCCAACGAGAGUUUUUAAUGGGGGAUCGAAAGGAGGCGUCACAAAGGGGAGGAGAGGCGAGGCAAUGUUAUCGACGGUGGACUCGGCCCGUAAUGCGUUGAAUGGGCUGGCCUUCCCUUUCCCCCACAGUUCCCUUUCCCCCUGCCAUCAACUGCAGUAUGACUAUGGUUAGGCUCACAUUCCCUUCCUGUUUUGUUUCCUCCUGUUAUAUCCUUUGAUUUUUUUUUUUGGACGCCUUUGUAAAUGCAAACAGAGAGAGAGAAAAGACAAAACUCAACAUCAUCAAUAAAUAGCAAUCUCUACUUCAUGGUGUACACUGUUGGCACUUAUUCGGACACGUUUUGUUGCGUUUUGGGUGGAUUAUCUCCUUUAAAAAAAUAUCAUUAUUAUUAAUUUUAAAAUAAAUGGAGUUGGAGUCACCAUUGGGCUUUCUUUUUCCCUCCCCACACCUCACUUUUUUCCUGAGGAAAUAAGUCAGAAUCCUCAAAGAGGGAAGGAGGAAGAUCCGGGGUCUUUUGAAUUCCCUUUUAGAGAUGGCUAAACAUUCAAAAACCCUUGAGGUCAUGCAUUGAAAACCCUUGAGGUUUUGUAUUUAAAAAUCCUUGGGGUUGUGCAUGGAAAGCCCUUGAGGUGUUAUGUAUAAAAAGCCUUUGGGUUUAUGCAUUAAUAGCCCCUGAGGAUAAAGAUGAACCCGACGCCUCUGAAGAUUUGCUUCGUAGUGGAAAUUAGCGAAUCUGGGAAUGGGAGAAGCGACACAGGCCUUUUUAGCACUAAAGGCAUGAUGUUCACUAGUGUUUUAGUAAGAUGUUGACUUUGUAUAAAAUAAUGAGAGCGAGGGGCUUGGGAGGGCACAGAAAAUGUAUAUUUAAGGGAGGAUGUGUACAAUUGGAUGCUCAGAGGUGGCGUUUGGGGGGCCGGGGGGUGUUGAGGGGGUGCUGCUGCCUGCAAGCGGAUUUCACAGAUGUCAAUAUUCCUAUUCAUUGUGUGUAGUUUUUAUUUCGGUUCCCCCGGCGGCUCUCCCCCCUCCCCCCAUUUUAGUUUGGAGCUAAUGGCAGCCCGUUUGUGUCUAUAUCAGGUUUUCUUUCCCCCUUUUGGAGUGCAGUAAAGCUAUAGAACCUGCAGUUUACACUCCCCUUUCUUUUCCUUUUUUAAAAUUUUCACAUUCUUUAUCUUCUUCCCCUCAGUACUUAAUUUUUUUUGUUUUUGUUUCUGUAGCUCCCUGUGCAAUGAUUCUUCCUGUAUAUUGCCUUUUUUGCUGGAAAAAAAAAAGAAAUGUUGUAUGUUGAAUAAAAAUUUUCUAUAAAAUUGUA